This 2270-nucleotide long non-coding RNA is filed under the name Homo sapiens (human). RNAcentral's name for it is "non-protein coding lnc-GEMIN5-4:1". Lineage: Eukaryota; Metazoa; Chordata; Mammalia; Primates; Hominidae. The record is from RNAcentral.
CUUGGGAAGAGGCAGCCUGUUUGGCUAUUUGGUUGGCUAGAUUAUUUCUCCGACUUUCAAAGGAGAGGGUUUUUUUUGGUGUCCUGGGACAUGAACAAUAGCUAUUUCCUCAGGAAGCUGGAGAUUAUCUAAUACUUGUAUUAUUAACUCUUUGUGAACUAGGUUUUUUUUUUUUUUUUUUUUAGAGACGGAGUCUCACUCUGUUGCCCAGGCUGGAGUACAGUGGUGUGAUCUCGGCUAACUGCAAGCUCCACCUCCCGGGUUCACGCCAUUCUCCUGCCUCAGCCUCCCGAGUAGCUGGGACUACAGGCACCCGCCACCACGCCUGGCUAAUUUUUGUAUUUUUAGUGGAGACGGGGUUUCACCGUGUUAGCCAGGAUGGUCUUGAUCUCCUGACCUUGUGAUCCAUCUGCCUCGGCCUCCCAAAGUGCUGGGAUUACAGGCACAAGCCACCACACCCGGCCUUAUGGACUAGGUUUUGACCUUUACUGUUAGUAAGGCCUCAUUCAGUCCAGAUUUUUCCAAAGGUAUAUACUACUCCAAAGGCAUAUUUGGAGUCAGUAUAAAUUGUUCCCUCCCGAUUUUGUAAAAAUUUUAAGGCUUGAUUUAGAGCAAUUAGCUCGCACGUCUGUGCGGACCAGUCAUUGAGUAAUCUUCCUGAUUCUAUUUCUGUGAGGGUAUCUCUGUCAACUACAGAGUAUCUGUAAUCCCUUUUUCCUUCUAUUACCUGGGAGGAACCAUCUACAAAAAGAUGUUUCCCUGUUUGAAAAGGAGUUUCACAUAAGUCUAGUCUUAACUUUGGUUUGGUAACUAAUUAGGUCUAAAUAUUUAUGCUCAGGUUCCAUUGGUUGUGGGUUCCCUGUUACCUUUUGGUUUGGAUUCCUGGUUAGAAAAGCAGCUGGAUUUAGAGAAUUGUCAGUGGUUAGUGUCAGGUCAUCUCUCUCUAGCAGGAUAGCUUCAUAUUUUAAAAUUCUUGAGUCAGCGAGCCACCUUUCUGCCUUUUGGUUGAGGAUAGUUCUGACUUCGUGAGGUGUGCUAACAAUGAGUUUUCCCCCAGAGGUUAAUUUUCUGCUUUCCUCCCUGAGCAAGGCUGUUGCUGCCAGUGGCCCCCAUGCUCUUGGGUGAGUACCCCUAAAGCCACUCCUUUGCUUAAUACUGACAAAAAGAUGGAAUGGCUGUUCUAGGGAGGGUAAAGCUAGAACAGGGUCAGUCACUAGUAAAUGUUUUAACUUUUCUACUUGUUUGAUUUCUGCUAGAGUUCAGAGAAGGGGGUCUGGCUCUUCUUGGGUGAGUCUUUCAUACAAAGGUUUUGUUUCUAAGGCAUAAGAGUCAAUUCAUUGGCAACAGUAUCCAACCAAUCUCAAAAAUUUUCUGAGCUCUUGUUUUGUUUCUGACACAGGUAGGGAUAUGAUACCUUCAAUCCAUUCAAAGCCAAUUCUCUGCCUUUUGCUUUUGCCUUUCCUCAUCCCUCCGUACAUAUACAUUUUCAUUCUCUUUAAAAGCUCUUCUAUGGGAUGGUCUUUCCAAUUUUCUAUCUUUCGUAAUUUCUUUGUAAUAUCUGGUGACAAAACGGAGCUCUAACAUUCCUCAUCCAAGGGGGUUUUCUAAUUCUAGGCCAGCAUAUUUCCUCCUUUGCUCUUUAAGCCUCUCUAAGAAUUCCGUAGGUCCUUUAUCCUUUCCCUGUUGUAUAUUAAAAGCUUUGGUAUAUUUUGAGUUCGAGGAACUGAUUCCCGAAUCCCUUUAAUUAUCCUAUCUCUAAGAUCUCUCAUAUUCCCUCAAUGGGCUACAUUGUUAUCUCAUUGAGGAUCUUGGGCUGGGAACUUUUGUUUAGCUGCAAGGACGUUAUGACUGAGGGGGUGUUCACGUUCCCAAACCGUCAUAGUGCAGAUCAUGCUUCUUUCCUCUCCCGAAAAGAGGAUGCCUAGGAUGGACAUUAACUCAGUCCAAGUAUACAACUGGGGUCCUAGAAAUUGAUCAAUUUGAUCUGCUACUCCAUAGGGAUUGUCUAAGAGUGGUUUGAGCCCUUUUUAGGCUUCGGACUUCUGAACUGGUUAACAGGGCGUUCACAAAACAAAUGCCCCCUCCUCCUAGAAGCACUUCCCUUAAGGGAAAGAUCGUUGGAGCAGAUUCUCGAGGUAGUGGGGAAAGGAAAGUUUUGGAUAUCUUUUUUACACUGUUCUAUCUCACGUUGAAGUCUUCCUGGGGAAGGGCAUUCAGGCUAGGGAGACCCCAAGUCAGGAUUAUAAGGGGAAGAAACAAAGUGAGCUGGG